GAGCGAAAGGGAAUCCGGUUACAAUUCCGGAACCUGUUGAGUAUACGUUUGCAUUAUGUGACCGCCUACAUUUAUGUAGGUUAUCCAUUAUGUAUCUCGGCAACGAGAAGCCAAUAUAAAGAAGCUAUCGGGAUGUAACAAAAGAGUUUUCUUUUCUGUUUUACAGUUGUACGCACCAUGGAAGUCUUUCAUAGAGAGAUAUGGUGUAAUAGGCUGGUAGAGCAUGGCAUUCAGUUGCUGUGUUGUUACAAUCUCCUUAGACCUUGAAAAUUUAUAUUGGGGUCACGCAAACUCUCAACAGACCGUACCGAAUCCGCAGCAGGUCUCCA
RNAcentral lists this ribosomal RNA (329 nucleotides) under Simulium euryadminiculum. RNAcentral's name for it is "eukaryotic LSU rRNA". It matches the Rfam family "Eukaryotic large subunit ribosomal RNA", at positions 1592 to 1869 of the family's 3401-position model. The record is from RNAcentral. Lineage: Eukaryota; Metazoa; Arthropoda; Insecta; Diptera; Simuliidae.